RNAcentral lists this ribosomal RNA (253 nucleotides) under uncultured bacterium. Its description in RNAcentral is "partial 16S ribosomal RNA". It matches the Rfam family "Bacterial small subunit ribosomal RNA", at positions 524 to 776 of the family's 1533-position model. The record is from RNAcentral.
UACGUAGGGUGCGAGCGUUGUCCGGAAUUAUUGGGCGUAAAGGGCUCGUAGGCGGUCUGUUGCGUCGGGAGUGAAAACUCAGGGCUUAACCCCGAGCCUGCUUCCGAUACGGGCAGACUAGAGGUAUGCAGGGGAGAACGGAAUUCCUGGUGUAGCGGUGAAAUGCGCAGAUAUCAGGAGGAACACCGGUGGCGAAGGCGGUUCUCUGGGCAUUACCUGACGCUGAGGAGCGAAAGUGUGGGGAGCGAACAGG